UACCCUAGUGGUUAAGGAUAUGGAUUGCCAAUCCGGAGACGGCGGGUUCGAUUCCCGU
This is a non-coding RNA of Aedes albopictus (Asian tiger mosquito), 58 nucleotides long. NCBI's taxonomy places the organism in Eukaryota, Metazoa, Arthropoda, Insecta, Diptera, Culicidae. The record is from Rfam.